Lagopus leucura (white-tailed ptarmigan) is the source of this 4911-nucleotide long non-coding RNA. RefSeq lists it as uncharacterized. Lineage: Eukaryota; Metazoa; Chordata; Aves; Galliformes; Phasianidae. The transcript is spliced from 3 exons. The record is from RefSeq and is a predicted model, not a curated record.
AUUAGCACGCUGCUAACUGGAAUGGUGUCCCACAAAACCCAGCUCACAGAAGCUGGAAUGUAGCCUAGAUGCGAUCAAUAUUCCCUUGUCUGAAACCACGGUGCUGUAUUUAUUGAUAUAUCUGGGCCACUUCUGUACAGGCUUCACAACCCUUCCAUGGACAAGCAAUGGUAAGACACCACUGAAAAAGCAUUUCCCAGCUUCUAUUUGAGGUGUCCAAGGAAGGUGUUGGGAAACAUUUUAAUGGAACAAAGAAAAAACAUACAAGACUAUAAUUUUCUACCUAACACAGCUGCCACAUGCUGGCAAGGGCUGGGGGAUGUUGGGAGAGCUGUAGGGGAACUGCCAGGUCAUGGCUUGAACUGGUGAUGGAGCACCUGGUGAAGGGUGCUCCAUCAAGGCAAAUUGUGUACACCUGUGGUCCUCAGGUGACCAGAAGGGCUGCAUGCAGGGUGGAACCCCCUGGGCUCAUAUAAGGGCCAACCACGGACAGGGAGGCAUCUCUUGUUGAGCUGGGUUGCUUCCUGAGGAGGAGUGCUGUAUUGCCAGAGAGCCCCUCCAGCAGCUGGUCUGGAUCUCUGCAAGGCCUUCACCCUUGAUGGAGCCAACAGCCCUUCUCCAUUUAGUACCAUCAGCAGACUUGCUCAGAACAACUUGCAGCCCUCCAUCCAAGUCAUUCAUGGAAACAUUAAGGAGAGGUGGCCCUAAAAUGGAGCCCUGCUAGUGAUCAGCCUGCAGCCUGGUGGAACCCUACUAAUUACAGUGCUUUGGGAUCGACCCAUGAGCCAAUGACUCGCACAUCACUUUCUGUGUUUGCUUAGCAAUUCGUCCAGAAGGAUACUGUGAGGAAACAGCAUCAAAAGCUGAAACCCCCCCAAAAAUAAUAUCAACUGGUUUCCGUUGGUCAAAUACAGUUAGGUGGGUGGGUUGUUUGGUUUUCUUUUCCUUUAAGGAAGAUGGUCAGAUGAGACGAGGAAGAAAUUUGCUGCCUGGCUGUGUUAGAUACAGGAUGUAUAUGCACCUCAAGUGUUUUCCCUCUUACUGCUUGUCAUGGGAGCACUGCUGGUUAGGAUUUUCUCUGACAAAAUGGCAUCUCUUAAAUACAGCAGCUCCCAUUCCAAGGUCCUGUUUACAGCCAUAGUCUGUCCGCUUCAGAACAGCAAACUGAUCGCACGUGCAUGGAAAACGAGGCGCUGGCUAUGUUCAAACUUCAGAUCUGCUUGCAGCCACACUGAUAAGCAAAGGCAAAGCGAUGGCUGGAAGGGAAGGCUGGCAGCGGGGAGCAGAGUUUGUUCUGUUGCUGCAGCAGCAUGGGGCAAUUCGUCGUGUUUCAAAACCGACAUGCUGGCACUAAUUUCAGGGUAGAAUCCAACAGAGGCUAGCCUACUGACAGAGGAUUUCAGGCCCAUUUGUGUGACCUUACAUUGGCUACAAGCACUUCCUCAGGUUUCAAGGACAAGUACUGCCAGGGUAAGGCAGAAAUCACCCAAGAGGGAAAAGGAAAUUUCCUAUGCAAACUGACUUUCUGCAUUUUUUGGGGGGGGUCUGUUACAGAUUUCUUAGGUUUCAGUUAAUUUUAGGGCAAAGUCUGUUUAUUUUAGAUUAAACUUCUGCUUUCUGAAGAUGCUCAGUUAGCUCUCCAAGGGGUGCUGGUGCUCACAGCUGGACCUGUCAGGCUGAAUCACGGACAAAGCUGCAGUAACAGCAUCAUUUAUAACUUCUUACCCUACAUAAUGGACGGAAAUGCAUCAACCGUGAUGAAGAUGCUAUGAAAAAUUGAUGCAGAAACUUAAAAAUAAGACUGCCCACCCACUGCAGCUUGCAUGAUUGGCAGAGACGUCUUUUGAACAGAGAAUUAUCCAAAUUCUCCCCAGUCCCCGCCUUCUUUUGUGAUGCAUUUUGGGCUGAUAAAACUCCCCCUGAAAUAAACAGCAACAUUUUUGCUGACUUUAAGCAGCUGGCAGAAAUCCACAGAAUAAUGUUUUGAGCACCUAUUCUGACACACUCCUUCUAGUACUGUGGCAUGUAAUUUAUUGCAGAUUUAUUUCCACUGAGUCAGUUGGAGAACUCUGGACUGAGCUCUGCUGAUGGCUGCUCCUGUAAAUUACAUCGUUUUGCACAAAUACAGAUGCCAGACAGGCACUGCAUCACAACUUGUUUCCUGGGUCGUUUGCUACAUCUGCCUACACGGAAGAUGGUAUUUUGGUGAAGGAAAAUUACAGCUUGUGCUGAACAUGUUGGGUUCUGUCCAAAAAAACCCUUAAAUAUCAGAGUUUAGUGAGAAGUUUGGGAAGGCCUUCAAUGCUGUACUGCCUGCUAUCGAGUGAAUGCUGCAGUUCCACCAACACAGCACAGGGCUGUGGGGAAGCAACACCUGGUUUGGGUCCUGAGUGCAGAACAUGAUGUGCAUGAACUUCAGGCUCUGCCAGAACUGUUUUCAUGGUGAGUCUCAAUCAACUGUGACGGCCAUGUGUUAAUGACCACUGUAAUGAAGCACAUGGCAGGCACACAGCAUGCCUGUUUGCCACCACUGCAAGCUUGUGCCACUGCCAUUGCUUGUGCUUUCUGCUGCUCCGUGCUCACGCUGCAUUGCUCUGCACAAACACUUCACCUCCUGGCCCAAUGCUAAUUGCACAGUGACAGCAGCCCAACUGAAAAGAAUGAUUGUUUCUCCAUUUCUGAAUUAUUCAACUGCUGUGGAAGCCUAAAAACCAAAUCCACUGGAGAAUUAAGGCACAAAAGCCCAGUCAACUGCGAAGCAACCGCUCCAGGCAUGGCCAAGGAGCUGCCUGGGCAAAGAUGUCUACAUUUCCCCCUUCCUGCCUCAAUCUGCCAGCUCACCUACUCUCCAAAAACCCACAGGGCUAACGAGGACCUGCCAUCUGUAUAUUACUUAACUAAUGAAAAACUGGCUCAGGUUAACCAGCGCAGCUCAGGACCUGCUGCCAUGCCUUGGAGCUGGCUGAGCACUACGGCACCUGGCUGAGGUCUGCUGGAGGAGAAUGGACUCUGAUCACAAACAUCUCAGUGCCUUGGAUGUGUGCAUGAUUCUGCUUGGCUCUACACUCUCAUAAUGGUCCCAGCAAUGUUCGGUUGCAAAGGCAGCAGGGAAUCCUGCUUCUGCAACACAGGGCUCUGCUGGUGCUACGCUGGGCCUUGCCAAAGACAUCAGCUGACGUGGGAAAGAAGUCAGCCCUGCUACAAAGAACAUCAGUGUAUGAGAUUCUUGUUGCAUACCACACAGCUCUGAAGGCGUGAAGGGCAAGCAGGCGUUCCAAAGGCACGUGUCAAGGGAGAAAUUGGAGUGGAGGAUUUCAAUGUUAGUGCAAGGAGAGCUCACACCCCUGCAUGUGGGGAAAGCCCUGGAGAUCAUCAGCCUUUCAGAUCCUGGCCUUUUUCUUAGCAAAAGAUGGAGAACUGGGAUGAAACACUGCUUCCCAGCCCUGCAGCUGCCACAGGGACACCGACUGCCUCCCUCCUUCCUUCUCUGUCUACUUACAUGCACAGCUUGGGACAAAAAAACCUCUGCAAACCAUGAUCAGCCUCACCAUAAACAUUCACCAAGGACUGUAAUAGUUCCAAAUUACACUUUGCUUAGAGCACAGUUAAUAGCUUUUUCAAAGAGAUGAGAACAAAUGGAAGGGAGAACCUAGAGUAUGUUUACAGAUGUCGCAUGAAAAAACACUGCUAACCCAGUUUCCAUUUCCUUCUAUUAGAUGAACAGCUGGUGGGUUGUACCUCACAGAACAGAGGAGUGCACUGGGAGUGUGAGACAUGGAACGAGCCACCAGGAGAGGAGAAAAUUAUUUCAGGACAGUGAGGCACUGCCAGAUCUACAGUACGAGCCCAAGCAGAGCUGAGCUGUGCUACUGGGGGCUGCAAUGAAGCGUAACUAAAAUGCUUGUCAACGUUGAAAGAUCCUCAUAUGUAAAGGUAUGGAAUGCUUGAACAAAAGUGAUACUUCUGCUCUGCACUUUUUCCAAGCAAACUGAGAAAGCAGAGAGAUUGUUCAGAUAGAUUUCUAAUAGGGAGAAGGCAGAGCACACAACGCUUCCAGAUGGAAGGUACAGUGGGGGAUCACAAAGUAUAGGGGCCAGCUCUGCAAAGGCACUCCUCUGACCCCAACCCUGGAGCUCAGGCAGCAGGAUGCACCGCCAGGAGCAAGCAGCCUCUUCUUACACCUGCAGCACAGCACUGUGUGAUCUGCCCCAUUCCCAACCUCACCCAGGCACAAAAAAGAACCAGCCUAGCGCUGCUGCUUCACAGUGGCUCCCCAGCAGUGAUUCUGUACAGUUGCCAAUUCCCUUCUCGCAUGAAGGAGAGGUGUUCCCUCUGAUUGCUGUAUGGUGAGAGACAGCUGUGACAGCCCUUGACUUGACGAGCUGUAAGCUUUUCACAGAAAUCCAAGAAAGGGGAAAAAUAAGGUUUUUUUUCUUCCUCGUAAUAUGUAUUUUGAUGCCCUUUUGUCUUGAUUUGUUUUAAAUACAAAAAAAAAGGAUCGUGGUUUUACAUGCUGUGAGCGUUUCAGGGUUCUCUUCACGCUUUCACUCAAUAGCAGGUUAACUCUUCAAUGCAAACAGAGCCUGGAGCUUCCUUCUACCACUGCUGCUCCUUCAUUUCUUACAUGGAUUUACCAGACUUAAAGAAAUAGCAACACUGGAUUUGGAAGUGUUUCAGGCAGCCGUAAGCCCUCUUAAAGGAGCCAUAUCCCCAUGAGGAUGGCAGCUGUGCAGCGGCCAUCACUAUCUGAACUCUGAACCCAACAUCCAACAAGCCUUUGCAAAGCUGCCCUGCAAAGAGGAGCAGCCUCUUUUUGCACGUCUCUGAGAAAUUCUAUCCCCCAACUGCCGCUCGAUAUUUGUUAAAUUCAGUACAGAAAAUAGCAAGAAAUGGCUUAGCGUUACAUGUUUA